GACGAACGCUGGCGGCGUGCUUAACACAUGCAAGUCGAACGGAAAGGCCCUGCUUUUGUGGGGUGCUCGAGUGGCAAACGGGUGAGUAACACGUGAGUAACCUGCCCUUGACUUUGGGAUAACUUCAGGAAACUGGGGCUAAUACCGGAUAGGAGCUCCUGCUGCAUGGUGGGGGUUGGAAAGUUUCGGCGGUUGGGGAUGGACUCGCGGCUUAUCAGCUUGUUGGUGGGGUAGUGGCUUACCAAGGCUUUGACGGGUAGCCGGCCUGAGAGGGUGACCGGCCACAUUGGGACUGAGAUACGGCCCAGACUCCUACGGGAGGCAGCAGUGGGGAAUAUUGCACAAUGGGCGGAAGCCUGAUGCAGCAACGCCGCGUGCGGGAUGACGGCCUUCGGGUUGUAAACCGCUGUCGCCUGUGACGAAGCGUGAGUGACGGUAAUGGGUAAAGAAGCACCGGCUAACUACGUG
Molecule: ribosomal RNA, 468 nt
Filed under: uncultured bacterium
Lineage: Bacteria
Description: partial 16S ribosomal RNA
Rfam family: Bacterial small subunit ribosomal RNA
Source: RNAcentral